AGCUCCAAUAGCGUAUAUUAAAGUUGCUGCAGUUAAAAAGCUCGUAGUUGGAUUUCUGGUUUUUCAGUGUUGGUCCCCUGACGGUAACGUCAGUUGUGUGACUAUGCACUGAAGCCAUCUUUCUAGAGAAUGUAAGCUAUCCUUCACUGGACCGGUUUACAUCAUCUAGAUCUUUUACUUUGAAAAAAUUAGAGUGUUUCAAGCAGGCGUACAGCUAUGAAUACAUUAGCAUGGAAUAAUGAGUUAGGACUUUGGUUCUAUUUUGUUGGUUUCUAGGACUGAAGUAAUGAUUGAUAGGGAUAGUUGGGGGUGCUAGUAUUCAGCGGCCAGAGGUGAAAUUCUUGGAUUCGCUGAAGACUAACUUAUGCGAAAGCAUUCACCAAGGAUGUCUUCU
Molecule: ribosomal RNA, 394 nt
Filed under: uncultured eukaryote
Lineage: Eukaryota
Description: SSU rRNA
Rfam family: Eukaryotic small subunit ribosomal RNA
Source: RNAcentral